GCAAAACAUUUCUGAGAUGGCGCUGUUGGUGCCAGACGACAACGUUUGACAAAAGCAGGGAUAAUGAUGAAAGAUACAGAAAAUACUAAUUCGCCACUUCAAGUGGGUGAUAUAUUAGCCGAAUUCUUUGCAAAAAAAAUGGACCAAAUGACAGAUAUCAAAGCAAAUGUAGAAACAAAUGAAAACAGUAGUAGUAAUGAUAGCAAAUAUAGUUAUGUUGAGAAGAAAAAGAAAAGAGAAAGGAAAAGUAAAAAGAGAAAGCAUAAACAUAAAAGAUCAAGAAGGAAAAAAAGUAAACACUCAAGUGAAAGUCAUCGAAAACAUAAAGU
Molecule: long non-coding RNA, 329 nt
Organism: Centruroides sculpturatus (bark scorpion)
Lineage: Eukaryota; Metazoa; Arthropoda; Arachnida; Scorpiones; Buthidae
Exons: 2
Source: RefSeq, a predicted model, not a curated record